Molecule: unclassified non-coding RNA, 4611 nt
Filed under: Leishmania donovani
Lineage: Eukaryota; Euglenozoa; Kinetoplastea; Trypanosomatida; Trypanosomatidae
Description: gene:LdHU3.15.0790(CDS-product:CRAL/TRIO_domain_c ontaining_protein_putative)
Source: RNAcentral
UGACACACAGACACAAGCAUAACGCAGACGCAGAUUUCCAAGUACGUUGCUGCGGCUCCUCUUCCUCCGUUACAUACGCACAGCUAAACGUGUGCACUGAGCAGAUCCACCUCUUGCCCCUCGCCACGAGGGCACCGCCUGCCCCAUCCUCUCCCCACCACCGCCACCCUUUCCUCACCGCACACACGUCGAGGCGCAUCUGGCCUUAGUCACGGACGGAGUGUGGGGACACCUCUGGUCGCUGCCUUUCGCCUCGCGGCGCUGCCCUUUAGCCCCCCCCCCUCGGCCUGCGUCCUUGCCUCUCCGUUCGUGCACGCGUGCGUGUCUCGGUUUCCUGCUCUCUAGGUGCCACGACCGCCAGCAAGUCUUUGUUGUGCCAGUCCUUGCUGCCGCCUCAUUCCUUAUCUCCUCUUGUCCUCCCUUCCUCGAUCCCUGUGUUUGCGACUGAGAAGGCUGUAGAACCGCGUACGGAGGAGCCUACCGUACGCUACUGUCAAUUCACUCCGCCACAGCCGUCGGCGUCAUCAUCAGCAACGAUACGGCCCAACACCCAACCAGCAGCGGCUCCCACCCUCCCCCUCCCCCAUCCCCGGUCUCUCGGUCUCCGUGUCUUUCGAGACGCACGCCCCUCGGCUUUCUCAUCUUUAUCGCGCGCGCUCCCUCCUUCUGCACGUCGCAAGCCGACGCUCCCGCUCACACGCACUCACGGGCCUGCACUCUCGCUCUCCGUCUCCGUCUGCUUUUUUUCGGUGCUUAGUCUCCUUGCGCUUGCGUGCGUGUUGUGCAGCUGCGUCUCUGCGCUCUGCACACACCUCUUCGUCUCUCUCCCCCUUCCCCAUCAACUUUAUCCAACCAGCCUCUCUCACACAUCACAAGCGCUUGCCCCUCAUCAUGUCCCCGCUCGACGCUUGUCGAGAGCAGUACGAGAAGGAUCUGGCCAACCAGACCCACUGCUGCAUGCUCGAGCAUAUCGAGGAAGAAAACAAGGCGGCCAACCGGAAGGUGUUUGUGAGGCUUCUCCGCUAUCAGCAGGAUAUCAACACGAAGGGCACGCUUCCCUUCGAACCGGACCCUACAGAUGCGCAGAAGAAGUCGAAAGGUAACAGUGCGGCGCCUGCCUACCCCGAGAACUUGACCAUUCGCGACCCGCGUCAGCUCAAGCAGAUUCUGCCCAUCCCCGACAUCCACAAGGUGUCCGACUGCGACCUUAUUUACCGCUUCCUUAUUGCCCGGCGCAUGGACGUCAACCUCGCCACGAACGACAUCUUGCACUACAUCGGCUUCCGCGAGAAGUACAACCUCGAUACGAUCUUGUGGGACCGCGAGGUGGAGGCGGUCUUCAACGGCCUCGAUGGCGAGGAGCUGAUGCAGCAGGUCAUGGAGGAGAUGAAGAAAGGCGCUAGCCCUGCGGCGAAGGUCAAGAUCACGCGCCCACUGCUGCAGGCUGGCUGGGCAGCGUGGAACUGUGGUGUGGACAAGCGUGGGCACGUCAUCUUCUACCAGCGUCCAAACCCGAAGGAGCUGGCGAUGCUCGAAAAACGUUGGCCCUACAUCGAGGGUCAGUACGACUGCCGCAACCCGGACUUCCACUCCGUAACGCCGCCUUACAGCAAUCUGCUGUCACGGGUGUACCUGCGAGAGGUCGAGAAAGGCCGCCGUAUCUCGCGCCUGCUGAAUUACAACCAGCAAUAUAUCAUCCGGGAAGGUCUGCACGUGCAGACCGCGGUGAAGCCGACGUCCACGGACACGUUCAUGGACAACGGCGGCGGCGCCACCUGCCUCGUUGACGUCGGUAGCAUCAAGCUGUCCCACCUGACUUCCAGCAAGUGCAAGAAGGCUUUCAAACUCUUCCGAGUUCUCUCGCUGACGGGGCAGAGCUUUUACCCGGAGAACAUGAGCCGCAUGAUCAUCAUCAACGGCGGAUUUGUGUUCAACAUGUUCUUCAAGCUCGUCCGACCGUGGCUGGACCCGCAGACGCAGAAGAAGAUUGUCCUUCUCUCCGCCGCCAACAGGGCCACCCUGGACGAGCUCAGCAGCGACUCGAACCACGUGUCGCAGAGCCACGAAACGAACGACAGCGAAGAGAGCGACGACGACGGGGCUCCCGCGGUCGGGGCGGACUCGGAAAAGGCAAAAUAUGCGCUGCGCGACGCGCUGGCCGAGUACAUCCACGAGGACUUUAUUCCCUCGUGGUACGGUGGCCGCCUGACCGUCGUUGACUCGCCUCUUUUCUACGGAGCUAGCCCGCCCAAAAGCCUAGCAGAAAACCCGCAGUACGCGGCCGCCUGCGAGCGCCUGCGUGCCCGCGUCGUGCCUCAACUGCUGCCGGACGCGUUCAUCUUCGCCAACGCCAAGGAGAGGGAGGGGGUCGGCCAGGAGGAAUGGGAGGCCUUCUGCAGUAUGACAGAGCGCACGCUGUUCCGCAAGCAGGCGAGCACAAAGUGAAGCAGCCAUUCAUGACCUCAGCCGCAUUCGUGGAAAAAAAAAAGGAGAGGCGAACAUGCGUGCCACCCCUGCUGCUUCCUGUCGCUCUCCUCUGCAUGCGCGUUCAUGAAUGGGGGGGGGGGGGGUAUGUCAGCUAAACCAGGGUUCACGCCUUUGCCUGCCCGUCUCGGUAUGGAGGAUGCCAUGUUCUCCAGACGCUGUAGAGUAGUAAUGCUGUGCAUCUAUAUACCUACAUACCUAUAUAUAUAUAGGAGUGUGUGAACAUGCGUGCGUGUCUUUCUGCUUCGCCUCGCUGCGCCCUCUCUCUCCCCCCUCCACCCCCUCCCUCGAUUUAUCCGUCGUGGCACGGGGAGGAGGAGGGGUACACACACACACGCACCUCUCCGUGCGGGGCAACCCCACCAUCCCUGCCAAACGCCGAGCACUUACCGCAUGGGGGAGUCAGAGCGAUGCAUCGCUGCUGGUAUCGGCGGCGAGGUCCCGGGCUGACGUUGCGUCGGAGCAGCUUGCGACGGUGUGAACAUGUGUGUGCCAUCCAUGCGAUGGGCAGAGCGUCAGCGCGACUCGAGCGUAUCCCAUCCGGCCCUCACACUGCCUACUGGUGUGGGGCGGCUGCGUGCCACCCCCGAGGGAGGCACCAGGGGUGGCGCACUGCUGUAACGCAUGUAUCUACCGCUGCGUCGCGCCGCACGAUGUGGGGGCCCUGUGGACAGGCCGGUCGGUGGAGGGAGGAGGGGAGGGGUGUAGCGCUUUAGAUCACGUCCUGGUGGCAGAGGAAUGGACACGCGCACACGUUGUGGGUACUCGCAAAAAGAGAGGCAAGCCUACUAUAUAUAUAUAUAUAUAUACAUAUAUAUAUAUAUAUAUGUAUUCAUGUACUGUAUGGCAUCACAUGACCAGUUGCAGUUACGUGCGUGGUCGUGUGUGUGUGGUCAUGUGUGUCGCUGGUGUGCCAUAUCAGUCCUUUCCGGCCGCGUGUUAUCGAUUUUUGUUCAUUCCUCCCUCGUGAGUUCAUACGUUCAUUUCCCUUUCAUUCUGGCCUUUGUGGUUCUCGCCAACCACCCACGGAAACGGAGAGCGAUGCACCUCCUCCCCUCUCGCAUCAUCACACGCGCGUCCGGCGGUGUGUUUGUGCAUGCCUCUGCCUUUCCCCACAUGUCCACCGGUCGGUCUCCGUCUUAUUUAUUUUUUUUUUUUGGGGGGGGGGGGGGGGGGGUAGAUCGGGGGUAGAUGAGGGACUUUGCCCAGUCACCUCGCAAGCUUGCCAUCUCAUUUUGCUUUCUCUCUGCGCAACGUGUGCCGGCACGCCCUCCUCCUCCCGCCCUCAUCCCCUCGCUCGAAGGAACGCUUGCUGAUGGUUCUGGGCCAACCUGUCACAGCGAGGAAGAGGUCAUGGGCGCGAUGCAGUGCAGCUGCAGAGUGAAAUGGGAGAAGGGCAGUGGCAGAGGAGGCGAGGGCGUCGAAGCCAAAGGCCACUGCUAGGUUGCGGCGUGUGCCCUCGGUAUGUGCGUGUGUGUGCCUUUCGGGCCCACCUCCUCUCCACUCCUCUCUCACCGCUGUCUGUCUUUCUCACCUCUACCUCUACCCCGCGCGAACAGGCACCUCACUGGCAAGAUGGGGGUGGAUGGAUGCGUCUAGGCAUGCCUUUUUUCGUGCAUCUGCGUGUUCGCAACUUUGGUUGCACGUUGAAAAGUGGUGGAGGAAUAGUGGCGAAGCGAAGGUCGCGCGUGCGAACGGGAUGAGCGACCCGGGCGGCGAUCAGCAAGAAAAAGGGCACAGCGACCGCGUUCACAUGCAAGAGAAAAACAAGGAGGCAGAGGCGUGCACAUGCAUGGUUGCUACCCCUCACCAACGCGCACGCUAAUCGACACAUCUUCGGUACGCCAUUUUCGUUUCUUUCUCAUAUCGUUGUCGCACACACCUGUGCAGCAACACACAUGUGCUCGCAGAAAAGGAUGUGCUAUUUGGCGACUCAAAAGCUUCCCGGCCCACAAAAAGAGUCACGCGUCCCCCUGUGGACAGCAGGGAGAGGGUGUGAAUGGUAUGCGCGAGCACGCGCUUACUGGUCACGCUUCUGUGCUGCGUUACCUUAGCAAUCCACGUCUACGGUAUAUGCAUCAUGGGGCGAACUGCUUGGCAUCCACACCCACACACACACACACAUGU